This 253-nucleotide ribosomal RNA is filed under the name uncultured bacterium. RNAcentral describes it as "partial 16S ribosomal RNA". It matches the Rfam family "Bacterial small subunit ribosomal RNA", at positions 524 to 776 of the family's 1533-position model. The record is from RNAcentral.
UACAGAGACUGCAAGCGUUAUUCGGAUUCACUGGGCGUAAAGGGUGCGCAGGCGGCCAAGUGUGUUAGGCGUGAAAGCCCGGGGCCUAACCCCGGAAUUGCACCUAAAACUACAUGGCUAGAGCAUUGGAGAGGGUAGCGGAAUUCACGGUGUAGCAGUGAAAUGCGUAGAUAUCGUGAGGAACACCAGAGGCGAAGGCGGCUACCUGGACAAUUGCUGACGCUCAGGCACGAAAGCGUGGGGAGCAAAAGGG